CAAGCCUGAUCCAGCCAUGCCGCGUGGGUGAAGAAGGCCUUCGGGUUGUAAAGCCCUUUUGUUGGGAAAGAAAAGCAGCCGGCCAAUACCCGGUUGUUCUGACGGUACCCAAAGAAUAAGCACCGGCUAACUUCGUGCCAGCAGCCGCGGUAAUACGAAGGGUGCAAGCGUUACUCGGAAUUACUGGGCGUAAAGCGCACGUAGGCGGACUUUUAAGUCAGGGGUGAAAUCCCGGGGCUCAACCUCGGAACUGCCUUUGAUACUGGAAGUCUGGAGUCCGAGAGAGGUGAGUGGAACUCCGAGUGUAGAGGUGAAAUUCGUAGAUAUUCGGAAGAACACCAGUGGCGAAGGCGGCUCACUGGCUCGGUACUGACGCUGAGGUGCGAAAGCGUGGGGAGCAAACA
This 404-nucleotide ribosomal RNA is filed under the name uncultured Paracoccaceae bacterium. RNAcentral describes it as "bacterial SSU rRNA". It matches the Rfam family "Bacterial small subunit ribosomal RNA", at positions 378 to 774 of the family's 1533-position model. Lineage: Bacteria; Pseudomonadati; Pseudomonadota; Alphaproteobacteria; Rhodobacterales; Paracoccaceae. The record is from RNAcentral.